RNAcentral lists this ribosomal RNA (4968 nucleotides) under Sinularia cf. cruciata GS-2016. RNAcentral describes it as "16S ribosomal RNA". The stretch from base 2977 to 4894 matches the Rfam family "Bacterial large subunit ribosomal RNA". The record is from RNAcentral. Lineage: Eukaryota; Metazoa; Cnidaria; Anthozoa; Malacalcyonacea; Sinulariidae.
UAAUUAAAAAUGAACCAGAUACCUAUGCAAUAUUUUAAUUUAGCGGAGGAGAAUUAUUCUAAGUAUGGGUUAUCAGUAAUCCAACUUAUCCAGAUUGGUAAGUUCUAUGAACUUUGGCAUGAGCCCGAUACUUCUAGUAAGCACCGAGUAUGCUCUCAAGCCGAGUUAUUAGUUGAGUCAUCGACACGAAGUAGGCCUUUAGAGGUAACAUCCCCCAUUGAACAAGUUGCUUCGUUACUUGAUAUGAGAAUAAUAUCACCCAGUAAAAGAUCUUUGCUUCAAAUGGGAUUUCCAAUCUAUUCCCUUACUACCCAUUUAACCACUUUGUUGGAUAAAGGUUGGACUGUUGUAGUUAUUGAUGAAUUAGUCACUGGUAAAUCCGGGCCAAAACAACGCGCAGUAUCUCAAGUUUAUUCUCCUAGUUGCAAUUCAGAAGAUUGUUCGGAAUUAUCCUAUGUGUUAUCAAUUUAUUUUUCUCAAGACAACUUACUAGGUAUUACUUUAUUUUCAGCCAUGAAUGGGCAUAGUAUAAUGUUUCCUGUCUCUUGAACGGACAGGGACAAAGUAACCCGGUUAUUAGUCAGUUAUCGUAUUAGAGAAAUAGUAAUUUGGGUGGACUCGGGGGUAGGUUUAAAUGUUUUAAUAAAUAAGAUAUAUAAUUUAUUAAUUGGUUGGAAUUUAUUCCCCUCUGAACCUAAUGCUAAAAUUGAAGUUAUGGGGGAAGUACUAACCAAUUUACCGUGUUAUUUAUCUUAUAGGUACGAAAAUAAUAAUAAGGAGUGGCUUUUGCUUCAUAUUUAUAUAGGCACUAACGCAGAGUGGUUGAACAAAAAUUAUCAAAAAUAUACCCUUAGUAAGAUAUUUCAAAGUACUUGGACAGAAAAUGUUGAUCAGGCAAAUUUAAUUAGUCUUUUAGGAGUAUUACAAUUUAUUAAAGAUCGAAACCCUAAUCUUAUUAAGAAUCUUCAACUUCCUGAGUGUUAUAAUUCUGUUGUCAGUCCCUUAAAUUUAAUAUUAUGUAAUCGAGCAGAAUAUCAAUUGGACUUAUUACCUAAGAGGGGGAAGUUGGGUGGUUUACUUAAUCUGGUUGAUUAUUGUUCUACUGCAAUGGGUAAAAGACUUUUCAAAUUUAGACUUCUUAACCCUAUUACAGAUUAUUCUGAAUUAAAUCUUCGUUAUAAGGAGAUUGCUAUAUUUAAACAAUUACUUGACAGGAAAAUAUUUGACAAUUUCGAGUUAAAACACAUUAAAGAUUUAUCUUCUUUACAUCGUCAAUGGGCAAUAUGUGCCUCAAGUGAUACUACCUUGUCCCCUAAAAAGUUAAGUCAAAUUUACCACUCUUAUUUGUUUGCUAAUCAGUUAAUAAGUAAAUUGAUAAAUAAUAAAUGAAUUAACAUUCAAUUACCUCCUUUAAUCGGACCCCAACUAGAAUCGUUAAUUGAAGAAAUAGGUCAAGUUUUUCAAGUAAAUAAUCUUUUAGGUGAUUUCAAAGAUGUAUUACAGCCAACUGAUAAUCUAACUAACUUACUUGCGCAACAACAAACUUUAAGGGCCCAACUUACAGAGUGGGCCGAACAAAUUUCAAAUAUUGUGUUUCAAGACACAAUUUCUAUUAAAGCCGAAUAUUUUAAUAAAGAGGGUUAUGCUUUUUCUAUUUUAUCUAAAAAGUUAACUAAGUUAGAACAUUACAUGACUAAUGCUUCUAUAUCUAAUAAUUCAAUUAUUGUAUUGGGUAAAAGAGGAAGCCACCAUAUAAUUACUAGUCCUACUAUUCAUAAAGUAUCAAUCGAAUUAAAUUUAUUAGAAGAGCAAAUUAAUACUUACGUUAAACAAACUUAUAACCAGGAACUUAAAAGAUUAUAUUUUAGUUAUUCUGAACUUUUUUCGCCCUUAGUAAAUAUGAUUUCUAAAUUAGAUGUUGCAUUAAGCGGGGCUAUUGCGGCUAUUAAAUUCAAUUAUACUAAACCUUGCUUAACACUAGCGAAACCCCAACAAACCAAAGGUUUUAUAGAAGCAAUUAACUUACGACACCCAUUAGUAGAACAAUUAAACACUCAAGAAGAAUGUGUAGCUCAUAAUAUUAGUUUAGAGGAUAAGGGAAUGUUAAUAUUCUCAGUAAAUGGUGCAGGUAAAUCUACUCUACUUAGAGCAAUCGGAAUCAACGUAAUCUUAGCUCAAGCAGGAAUGUAUGUAGCUGCAGAUUCAUUUAAAUUAAGGCCUUAUAAUUAUUUAAUUACUCGUAUUUUAGGGGGAGACGAUCUUCAUAAAGGCCAAGGUACUUUUGAGGUCGAAAUGAGAGAUCUUUCAACUAUAUUAAAGUUAGGUAAUUAUAACAGUUUAAUAUUAGGUGACGAAAUUUGUCAUGGAACAGAAGUUAGUUCAGGAACAGCGAUAUUGGCUGCAACAAUUGAAAGAUUAACAACUGCACAAACUAGUUUUGUUCUUUCUACUCAUUUACAUCGAGUUUGUUCUUUAAUUGAUUCGCCAGUUCGGUGCUAUCAUUUAUCUGUUAUUCAACAAGAAGAUUCGGGCCUAAUUUAUGAACGUAAAUUGAAACCUGGCCCAGGGCCCUCUCAAUAUGGCAUUGAAGUUAUGGGUCACAUAAUUAAUGAUAAAAAAUUUUAUAACAGUGCUUUGAAAUACCGUAAACUUAUUAACUGGGAGCUACCAUCCCGAAAUGAGUUUAGCCCUUUAACAGUAUUCCGCCCUUCUAAAUAUAAUGCUCAAGUUUUUAUUGAUUCGUGUGAAAUAUGCGGAGCUCCAGCAGAAGCUAUUCACCACAUUCAACCUAAGAGUGAAUUUAAAAAUCAACCUGAGAGAUUAUGUAAUAAAAAAUUAAAUCGAAAAUCUAACUUGGUGCCAGUUUGUUCAAGCUGCCAUUUAAAUAUUCACAGAAAUAAAAUCUCUAUUUUAGGUUGGAAGAGAACCCCAGGACAUAAGAAAUUAUAUUGGGUUUAUCUUAAUGAAUCUUUAGACAGUGGAACUGAGUAAAGUCUAGGGUCUAUCGGUAAGGACGUGAAAUACGAAAUAACAAGGGAGAGACUUUGAACUUGUUUGUCCUAACUGAAAAGGGUGAAUUGAAUAGUUAAUUGAAACAUCUUACUAGACUAUGAGGAAUACAUCAACUGAGAUUCCGUGCGUAGCGGCGAGCGAUAGCGGAGGAAUUGUCUCAAAUAGAUAAUUAAGAUGAUUGGACAUCUAGACUAAACCCCGAUAGACACCUAUAGAGAAAGUACCGUGAGGGAAAGACUUAGAAUUGGUUCUAAAAGUUACCUUUUGCAUAAUGGGCCUGCAAGACAAAAUUUGGCAAGCUUAAGUAGUAAAUGAAGGCGUAGUGAAAGCAAGAGAAAACUCGUCAGUCAAAUUACCCGAAACCAAGUGAUCUAACCAUGGCCAGGUAGCUAUGCUGACCGAACCAGUGAUUGUGGCAAAAAUCUUGGAUGAGCUGUGGUUAGCGGUGAAAUACUAGUCGAACUUGGAUAUAGCUGGUUCUCUACGAAACUUAUCUUAGUAAGGCGCCCCAAGUUGAUUCGCCCCCAAACCCGGGGGCUUGAAUUACUGGUGUAGUAAGACUAUGGCGAUAAGGCCUCUAGUCAAAAGGGGUAAGCCCUAACCAGAAAUUAAAGUCACUAAUACAGAUUAAGUGUAUAAAGAGGGUUCAACUUAGACAAACAGGAAGUAGGCUUGGAAACAGCCAUCUGCACAGGAAAACGUAAAAGUUCACUGAAUGAGCUAGGAAACUCUAAGAAUUAAGGCGGCUAAAUCUGUAACUGAAAUUCUGGAAGCCAGACGGCAACUGUAAGGAAGCCAUAUUGCAAGGAAAUAUCAACUGGCUUGGUAGUAGAGCGUUCUGUAGGCACGACACGUGCACACCUCGUGAGAUAAAACAGAAGUGAUAAUGCAGGCAUGAGUAGUACAAGAUUUACUCCCAAAUAAAUAGAUAUAUACAGCUUCUAAGGGCAUUACGCCCGAUGGAUUAUAAUUCUUGUUCUUAUUCAGGAAAAAUAUUAUGGUACAAAGUACCUUCAACUGUUAUUUAUGGGACUUAUAUCUAGGCAUAAUUUUUCUUAAGGAACUCGGCAAAAUAAGAUCUCGGCUGUUUACCAAAAACAUAGCUCUCUGCUAAAGAUUACUGAAGUAUAGAGGGUGAAUUCUGCCCAAUGGUUGUAUAGUGAAACUGAGGACUAACGUCUAAAGCGAAACCCAACUGAAUGGCCGCGGUAACUCUGACCGUGAUAAUGUAGCACAAUAAAUAGCCAAUUAAUUGUUGGCGGGUAUGAAUGGAACCACGAGGGUCUUACUGUCUCAAGAGGAAAGCCGAUGAAAUUAUAGUUGUAGUGAAGAUACUACAUAAACAUUGUAAGACGAAAAGACCCUAUCGAGCUUUACUGGAUAUCGAUAACGUUAACUUAAAAUGAUCGAUACUAAGUAUCCUAAUUUUGAGUUAAUAAUUUUUGUUGGUAAGACAGUUUAGUUGGGGCGACUACCUUUGAAUAAGAAACGAAGGCGAGCUUAUGGUAUAUAAAGCUAAUCUCAUUAGCCUGACAGUGAGGGGGACACCCCUAGCUGGCACAAGGACUAUGUCCUAUGUGGGCGAUAAUGACCCGAUAUGAUAGUCCAAAAUAAAUAUCGAAAGCGGAUAAAAGCUACCGUAGGGAUAACAGCGUAAUAUUGUCGGAGAGUUCUUAUCGAGGACAGUGUUUGCGACCUCGAUGUUGAAUUGCGGUGCCCUGGUGCUGUAGAAGGUACCCUAGGUUGGUCUGUUCGACCAUGAAAACCGUACAUGAUUUGAGUUCAGAGCGUGGUGACACAGCUCGGUUUCUAUCUACCAUGUUCAAUCCCAACUUUUCUGAGUCCUAGUACGCAAGGAAUGGUCUCAGCGAUGCUCGACUAUAUUGGCCCCAUCGACGUAAUCAACUUCUGGCUGCUGCAAAGAAGGAAAACAAAAGGUUAAGGGAUUAAUAGGGU